This 1035-nucleotide long non-coding RNA is filed under the name Homo sapiens (human). RNAcentral's name for it is "novel transcript". The record is from RNAcentral. Lineage: Eukaryota; Metazoa; Chordata; Mammalia; Primates; Hominidae.
GAUCUCUGACCUGCGUUCUUAGCUGGGACGUCGAGUUCUCCCAGGAUAAUUAUCGACCAGCUGCCAUGUAAGACGUGCCUUUCAGCUUCCACCAUGAUUGUGAGGUCUCUCCAGCCACAUGUAACUGAAGGAGUAGCCACUAUUCAUGCCAUUGUCAAAACCUCAUGGCAACAAAACUUCCAGGGCUGGAAUUGCAAAGAUGAUUACAAAGGGGAGCUCCACAAUCAGGUGUUCCAAGAUAAUGAAUACUUCCAUAGCAACAAAAGUCUGACAAUAAACGGUUACCUUGAUUUUCACAUUUUCAAAGAAAAAUCCCUCAAUGGCAACUAGACCAGAAGUCUCAACACUGAAUAUGCAAUAAUGGCUACAAGGAUAUCAAAGUGGAGUGUGAACCAGCCAGGAGGAGAACGAAUAACACCCAAAGACAAAAAAGGACUUGUUGUCUUUUCUGGGGAAAGGGUUAGUGUGCUUUUCAGUUGCAUGUGAGAUAGUUGUAGCAUAGUAGGAAGACAUAUGACUUUGUUAUUGUUAUUUCAUAUGAAGUAUGGUUUAAGGAGAUAUGUAUAGAUGCCAAGUUAGCAAGAAUUGGACCGUGGUAUCUUGUCAACUUGACUAGGUUGAAUUACAUUUUUCAGAAUUCUAUUUCAUGUAAGUUUUCCAUUAGGGAGGGUCAGGAGAAAGACCUUCUUUUAAAAGACUAUGGGGCAGAAUGAUAUAUUUAAAUAUCUACAUGUAGGUAGAUAGGUAGAUAGAUAAACAUACAGACAGAAAUAUCUCUGUCUUUGUUCAGAUAGAAUAGAUAUCUGAACAGAGAUAGUUCAGAUAGUUCACAUAUCUGAACAGAGAUAGAGAUAUCUCUGAAUAUAUCCACAUAUAGAUAUAUUUAUAUCUAUCUUCCCUUUCUAACUACCAGAGCUAUGAACUCAAGAUUUAGUAUAAAUGUGAUGAAAACAGUCUUACAGAAACUGCCUAACCAGAUCAGCUCCACAAUUGUUCUAUACAGUCAAAUCCCUACAAUAAAUCAUUUUACAAAUC